This 490-nucleotide ribosomal RNA is filed under the name uncultured bacterium. Its description in RNAcentral is "bacterial SSU rRNA". It matches the Rfam family "Bacterial small subunit ribosomal RNA", at positions 34 to 518 of the family's 1533-position model. The record is from RNAcentral.
CGCUGGCGGCGUGCCUAACACAUGCAAGUCGAACGAAGCUCCUGCGUUGAUUCUUCGGAUGAAACAAGGGAAGACUUAGUGGCGGACGGGUGAGUAACGCGUGAGCAACCUGCCUUUCAGAGGGGGGAUAACAGUUGGAAACGACUGCUAAUACCGCAUAACGUAUUGAUGUCGCAUGGCAUUGAUACCAAAGCUGAGGCGCUGAGAGAUGGGCUCGCGUCCGAUUAGAUAGUUGGUGGGGUAACGGCCUACCAAGUCGACGAUCGGUAGCCGGACUGAGAGGUUGAACGGCCACAUUGGGACUGAGACACGGCCCAGACUCCUACGGGAGGCAGCAGGUGGGGGAUAUUGCACAAUGGGCGAAAGCCCUGAUGCAGCAACGCCGCGUGAGGGAAGUACGGUUUUCGGAUUGUAAACCUCUGUCUUUGGUGAAGAAGGAAGUGACGGUAGCCAAGGAGGAAGCCACGGCUAACUACGUGCCAGCCGCCGC